UGAGGAAUAUUGGACAAUGGGCGCAAGCCUGAUCCAGCAAUGCCGCGUGCAGGAUGAAGGCCUUCGGGUUGUAAACUGCUUUUGUACGGAACGAAAAGACUCCUUCUAAUAAAGGGGGUCCAUGACGGUACCGUAAGAAUAAGCACCGGCUAACUACGUGCCAGCAGCCGCGUUAAUACGUAGGGUGCGAGCGUUAAUCGGAAUUACUGGGCGUAAAGCGUGCGCAGGCGGUUAUAUAAGACAGAUGUGAAAUCCCCGGGCUCAACCUGGGAACUGCAUUUGUGACUGUAUAGCUAGAGUACGGCAGAGGGGGAUGGAAUUCCGCGUGUAGCAGUGAAAUGCGUAGAUAUAGGAAGGAACACCGAUGGCGAAGGCAAUCCCCUGGACCUGUACUGACGCUCAUGCACGAAAGCGUGGGGAGCAAACA
This 427-nucleotide ribosomal RNA is filed under the name uncultured bacterium. Its description in RNAcentral is "bacterial SSU rRNA". It matches the Rfam family "Bacterial small subunit ribosomal RNA", at positions 355 to 774 of the family's 1533-position model. The record is from RNAcentral.